GGCUACGAGGACGAACGGCUGGCGGCGUGCCUAAUACAUGCAAGUCGAACGGUCUUUCUAUGGAAGCUUGCUUCCACUGAGAAGAUAGUGGCGAACGGGUGAGUAACACGUGGGUAACCUGCCCAUAAGAGGGGGGAUAACAUCCGGAAACGGGUGCUAAUACCGCAUAGUUUUCUUGAUCGCAUGAUCGGGAAAGGAAAGACGGCCUUUGUGCUGUCGCUUAUGGAUGGACCCGCGGCGUAUUAGUUAGUUGGUGAGGUAACGGCUCACCAAGACGAUGAUACGUAGCCGACCUGAGAGGGUGAUCGGCCACAUUGGGACUGAGACACGGCCCAAACUCCUACGGGAGGCAGCAGUAGGGAAUCUUCCGCAAUGGACGAAAGUCUGACGGAGCAACGCCGCGUGAGUGAAGAAAGGUUUUCGGAUCGUAAAACUCUGUUGUCAGAGAAGAACAAGUUGGAGAGUAACUGCUCCAGCCUUGACGGUAUCUGACCAGAAAGCCACGGCUAACUACGUGCCAGCCGCCGC
This 528-nucleotide ribosomal RNA is filed under the name uncultured bacterium. RNAcentral describes it as "bacterial SSU rRNA". It matches the Rfam family "Bacterial small subunit ribosomal RNA", at positions 26 to 518 of the family's 1533-position model. The record is from RNAcentral.